RNAcentral lists this ribosomal RNA (301 nucleotides) under Arthrobacter sp. EP_S_35. Its description in RNAcentral is "bacterial SSU rRNA". It matches the Rfam family "Bacterial small subunit ribosomal RNA", at positions 43 to 344 of the family's 1533-position model. Lineage: Bacteria; Bacillati; Actinomycetota; Actinomycetes; Micrococcales; Micrococcaceae. The record is from RNAcentral.
CGUGCUUAACACAUGCAAGUCGAACGAUGAAGCCCAGCUUGCUGGGUGGAUUAGUGGCGAACGGGUGAGUAACACGUGAGUAACCUGCCCUUGACUCUGGGAUAAGCCUGGGAAACUGGGUCUAAUACCGGAUAUGACCUUCCAUCGCAUGGUGGUUGGUGGAAAGCUUUUGUGGUUUUGGAUGGACUCGCGGCCUAUCAGCUUGUUGGUGGGGUAAUGGCCUACCAAGGCGAUGACGGGUACCCGGCCUGAGAGGGUGACCGGCCACACUGGGACUGAGACACGGCCCAGACUCCUACGG